CUGAGCUCCCGGAGCGGCCGCUGCCUGAGGGAGUCGGGGGCUGUGUGGUGUCCCCGCGCUGAGGCCGCAGCCGGAGAGUGAUUUAGUGAGCGGGAGGCGCGGCCUGCUCCUCAGAGCAGCGCGGGGCGGUGAUCCAGGUGUCUGUUGAGCUCCAAUACCAGCCCUGAGCCUUCAGUGCCUUGGCAGGCAGUCUGCAUGCUGGGGACAGAGUUCCAGUACUGUUUGAUGCUCUUUGGAACAGUGCCACUGGAGAAGCAGAUCCAUUACAACCUGUGGUGUGCAAAGUCUGGCUUUGGAGCUGGGGUAUACAGCGCAGACAACGUGUCAGUGAUUGGAGUAGUCUUCCUGCAUGUGGCAGCAGGACUCCACAGAUGCUAGACAGUGCUUCUUAGCUACAUCUUCCCUGCUACCUUCCACAGCAGUGGUGGGGCUGAGCUGCUGUGCGGCUUUAUCCUCAAGCAGUACAACAGCAACACCCAGGUGUCAGCAUCCCCACAUGUCAGACGCCACUGCCCUAACAAAGGCACUGCUGCCACGGGUGACAGUUGAUGUCAUCUCAAUGGAGCCCGUGUUCCUGCAUCCAGCCACUCAUGUUGGAGUUCGUGUACUUCUGUGAUCCUCGCUACUUCUCGCCUUUGGCCACAUCAUGCUUCAGGCUCUGGAACCUUUCAGAAAGGAACUAAAAAGCUGAAGCCAGAAGGAACUACAUGAAACCAUCAGCACAAUGAACUGCAUUGCUGUUGGUACAGCAGUGCUAGGAAGGUCCUGAUGGAAACAAUGAAACAAGGCACGGGACAGCAUUUCUUUCCAGCUUCCCCAUCCCCACAGGUAGGCACCCAAUAGUUACAGUCACUGAUUCAGAGCUGUGUCCAACAAGGUAAACCACUGGAGAGUGGUAUAACACAGGAACACUGAUAUUUACAGGUGUGCUCACCUCUCUGAAGAGGGGCCAGUUCACCUUUACAGCUAGAGACUGCCAACUAACACAGAUCCUCCAAGAAGCCUGUGUACCUGAGAUGACUUCUACCCAGCAAAACACCCCUUAGAGAUACUUACCCUACUGCUGUGAUCACACCCUUGGUAGGGUCACCUGACUGGUAAACAAACAGCAAACCAGCAUUUCCCAGCCGCUCCCUAAGGACUGACGCCUACCAGGACUGCCUAAUGCAGUUUUGAGAAAGACUCCAGAUGAUCUCUCCAGGCAGGGAGAGGUCAGAGGGCCAUCAGGCAGAACAGUGACUGCACACAAAGGUCACUUCAGCUAUGUGCAAGCCUUUAACAGAAGCUUGUCUCCAAAACAGUAAUUCUCUAGAGAUUGCGUAGCUGACCGUUAGCAAAGUUCUCCUUGACUAUAUGGAAGUAUUAAAAUGCAGACAAGAUCCUCAUCCUCUUAAAGGAGGAUGAUUCCUUUAAGUCUGCACGAUGUUUCACUGCACUGUCUGGUUUCACCUUCUUUAUAUUGGUCUCCUCCAAAUUCAGGCCAAGCUAAUAUCCUGUAAAUAGAUACCCUGCUAUACCCUUCCUCCCUUUUUUUUUUUUAAAACUCUAUUUUUCACAUGUUCAGACAGAACAAAGUACCUUCCAUAUCCAUUAGCUACUCCCUGUUCAGUUCUCAGAGGCCAAUGCUACAGGACAAGCUUCUGCCAACACAUCAUUGCUGAUCUAAAGGAUAAGAUUCCUAACCAACAUGCUGUACCAGGCAGAAACCACUCCACCAAGAAAAAUUUCCUUUUCUACUCCCAUAGGAUGUAGGAAAUCUCUAAUAUUAAAGGAAACACAGAUCUGUCCUGGUUAACAUAAUAGUAUGAGAUAAUAUUAAUAAAAGAGUGCGUUGGGCUAUCAAGGUCCAUGCUAUUUUUUUCCUCAAA
Molecule: long non-coding RNA, 1868 nt
Organism: Lagopus leucura (white-tailed ptarmigan)
Lineage: Eukaryota; Metazoa; Chordata; Aves; Galliformes; Phasianidae
Exons: 3
Source: RefSeq, a predicted model, not a curated record